AUUAAACUAAAUAUAUUUUAUUUCCCUCUGGCAUAUUUCGGAUAAAUGAUUGUUGGGAAAUUAGACGCAACUAAUUCCGCCCGGGAUCAAGUGUGACUCAAUAUUUUGGAUAUCGACCGAUAUGAAACGAGAAGAAAAAUGACACCGAUAUUUUUAACGUGGUUCGGCCAAACUGCCUACGUCCACGGACCCACACCAAUAUAUUAGAGAAUCUCAAAAGGAGGAGUACAACAAAAAUACCACACUGUAUUUUGUAUCUGCCUACGCAGAGGCUAUCUCUCAACUCACUUUUAUCACUCGUGUAUAACUUCCACUCAGAAGCUAUCCUCACACAAGAUUUCUCUCUCUCUAAUAUCACACCCUUCUCUGGUGUUGUUGGUGGUUUUGGGUGGUUGGUAGCUGCUGCCGUGGUUUUUUAUAGGGGAUGAUAGGUGGUAGGUUGCAGAUUUUGUUGAUGGCCAUUGCUUGCCAUUGUUGAAUGUUGCAGCCGCAACUUUUGAACUUUUGACCAACAAUCUCCCACUUGAAGACUGAUUUCAAUCUGUCUUCACACCUUGAUCAACGCAGCAGUCUUUCUGUCUUAACUGUAAAGACAUAACCGGUAGUGCUUCUCCUGCGAUCUACCGCACCGGCAAAAUCUGCAUCUACAAAACCUUGUAGUGCUACAUCACCUCGUCGAAAGCAUAAGCAUCUAUCAGUAGAUCCACGUAGAUAUCUCAAUAUCCACUUUACUGCUUCCCAAUGCUGCUUUCCAGGAUUUGCCAUAAAUCUGCUCACAACUCCCACUGCAUGAGCGAUAUCUGGUCUAGUACAGACCAUGGCAUACAUCAGACUUCCAACGGCUGAGGCGUAAGGAAUUUUAGCCAUGAAGUCUCUUUCCUCCUUUGUCUUUUGAGAGUGCUCUUUGCAUAGGCGGAAAUGGUUAGCUAACGCUGAGCUAACCGGCUUAGCACUGCUCAUGUUGAAUCUUUGCAAGAUUCGAUCAACGUAUUUGGCCUGAGACAACUGCAAAACACCUUUUUUGCUUGUCUCUGUAAAUUCUCAUCCCGAGAAUUCGCUUUGCUUCUCCUAAAUCCUCCCCUCAAACCAAGGACCACAUCAUGUCCUCCCUCGAACGACAAUCCGUACAUCUUGCACCGCCGUUACCACUCAACGGGACUCGCUGCCUGACCACACUAUCAGGAAGACUUUCGAUACAAGGAACCACCGGAUUCAAUCGUGAGUUCACUGGGGGUACACCUCCGUAUAUCUUGCACCGCCGUUACCACUCAACGGGACUCGCUGCCUGACCACACUAUCAGGAAGACUUUCGAUACAAGGAACCUGAGGUCGAGAUGACCUCCUAGGAAUAGGAGUUAGAGCUGGAACUGGAGACUGUGGUGAAUCAGCCUCAGAGUUGGGCUCCUCCGUCUGCAAACUUUCAUCUGUUUGCUUCGAUGUACUGCACUCUGCAGUAUCAUCUGGAUCAACAUAUGUUGGAUCCUCCGUUGUUGUGUCGGUGAACUGCACUGCAUUCCUGUCCUUUUACAGCACAUUUUCAUUGAAUAUUACGUCCCUGCUUCGGAUGACCUUCCUGUUUUUGUCAUCUCAAAAACGGUACCCGAACUCAUCUCCACCAUAUCCAAUGAAAGUACAUUUUAGUGAUUUGGAGUCGAGCUUACUCCUGGCAAUAUCACUAAUGUGUACAUACGCGACACAGCCAAAUACUUUUAAGUGAGAAAGUUUAAUUUCUUUGCCACUCAAAACUUCCUCCGGUAUUCUGUACUCCAAUGGUACAGAUGUCCCAUGGUUAACGAGAUAUGCCGUUGUGUUGACAGCUUCUGCCCAAAAUUGUGUUGGCAGUCCUGCAUGUAUCCUCAUGCUCCUAGCUCUUUCUGUCAACGUCCGGUUCAUGCGUUCUGCGACUCUAUUUUGUUGUGGGGUCCCUGGCAUUUCCAACUUGAUGCCAUUCUGGUAACAAAAUUUCUUGAACGCCAUAUCUUCGUAUUCUCCGCCAUUAUCGGAUCUCUUUAUCCGUAAGCCAGUUUCAUUUUCCACCAUGGCCUUCCACUUCUUGAACGCCUCAAACACCUCUGACUUUUGUCUCAAGAAGUAAACCCACACCUUUCUCAAGUGGUCAUCGAUGAAAGUCACAAAGGUAAGACUUUCCGCCAAUGGAUGAAACUCUUGCUGGACCCCAAACAUCUGUGUGGACUAACUCAAGCUUUACUUGCUUCAGAGUUCUACCACUUGUGUUGAAACUCACCCUCUUCUGCUUCCCGAAGAUACAACUUUCGCAAAAGUCUAUAUCAACUGACUGAAGCUCUGGUAGUUUCCCUUUCGAAUGCAUAUACUUGAGUCCUUUCUGGCUCAUGUGCCCAAGUCUUUGGUGCCACAAAUUUGCAUUCUUCUUGCUAUCAGCAACUGCAAUUGUCACACACGCAUUCAUCGCUGUGUAUAGGCUGCCAGUAUCCUUGCCACGUGCAAGAAUCAUUGCGCCCCUAGUGAUUUUCCAACAAUCACCUGAGAGGUGUGUAUCACAUCCUUCUCUCGACAAUUGCUUGACGGAGAUCAAGUUAUUCCUCAACUCUGGAAUAUGUCUCACGUCCUUCUCCUUCAGCCACAACAUUGGCUUCGGUCUUUUUCUCGUUUCCCUUUGAAGGUACUUUACACUGCGUUCUGUAGUGCCCGACCUGACCACAGUUCCAACAUUCAACAGACUUUGAUUUGUUGGAAUUCUUGUGGAUUCUGGAGCUCUGCCUGCCAUUCCUUGACUUGCUCCGUCCACGUCCUUGACUUCUGGAUUUUCCUUCAAGGGCUUAUACAGGUCCUUCUGGUACAAGUAAUCCUCCAUUUGCAUUUUCCAAAAAAUCCAAAAUUCACACCGUUGAAUUUAUCAAUUUUGGAAAUUUUAUCGUCUGUCGACAUUGCUCCCACUCGAUCUGGACUCCUUGGAUCGUUUCUGAUUUUUCAGCUAACCACCGUGUUUAGAACACCUUUUGUCGACAAAUCGGAACCGCCGACAAAUUUCACUAUUCACGAAAUUCACUAUUCACGUGAAUAGUAACAGCGAAAAAACAUCAGAAAAUAUCUGCCACCACCGUGGCUCUGAUACCAGUUGUUGGGAAUUAUAGACGCCAAUAAUUCCGCCCAGGAUUGUUGUUGGGAAAUUAGACACAACUAAUUCCGCCCGGGAUCAAGUGUGACUCAAUAUUGUGGAUAUCGACCGAUAUGAAACGAGAAGAAAAAUGACACCGAUAUUUUUAACGUGGUUCGGCCAAACUGCCUACGUCCACGGACCCACACCAAUAUAUUAGAGAAUCUCAAAAGGAGGAGUACAACAAAAAUACCACACUGUAUUUUGUAUCUGCCUACGCAGAGGCUAUCUCUCAACUCACUUUUAUCACUCGUGUAUAACUUCCACUCAGAAGCUAUCCUCACACAAGAUUUCUCUCUCUCUAAUAUCACACCCUUCUCUGGUGUUGUUCUGGGGGUUUUGGGGUGGUUACAAGCUGCUGCCAUGCCUUCUAUUUAUAGGCAAAAUGAGGGGGAAGCUUUCCGCAUUUGUUGAAGAACACAACCAAGCAAAGUUGGAAUUGUGCAGCAAACUUUGAUUUAUUAGCCGCACACCCUUUUUGGCCACAACUUUUGAUUGGCCACAACUUUUUGACUAACAAU
RNAcentral lists this long non-coding RNA (3657 nucleotides) under Salvia miltiorrhiza (redroot sage). RNAcentral describes it as "long non-coding RNA (SMIL_LNC000511)". Lineage: Eukaryota; Viridiplantae; Streptophyta; Magnoliopsida; Lamiales; Lamiaceae. The record is from RNAcentral.